UGGGUAGGGGAGCGUUCUGUAAGCCUGUGAAGGUGGCCUGUGAGGGUUGCUGGAGGUAUCAGAAGUGCGAAUGCUGACAUAAGUAACGAUAAAGCGGGUGAAAAGCCCGCUCGCCGGAAGACCAAGGGUUCCUGUCCAACGUUAAUCGGGGCAGGGUGAGUCGACCCCUAAGGCGAGGCCGAAAGGCGUAGUCGAUGGGAAACAGGUUAAUAUUCCUGUACUUGGUGUUACUGCGAAGGGGGGACGGAGAAGGCUAUGUUGGCCGGGCGACGGUUGUCCCGGUUUAAGCGUGUAGGCUGGUUUUCCAGGCAAAUCCGGAAAAUCAAGGCUGAGGCGUGACGACGAGGCACUACGGUGCUGAAGCAACAAAUGCCCUGCUUCCAGGAAAAGCCUCUAAGCAUCAGGUAACAUCAAAUCGUACCCCAAACCGACACAGGUGGUCAGGUAGAGAAUACCAAGGCGCUUGAGAGAACUCGGGUGAAGGAACUAGGCAAAAUGGUGCCGUAACUUCGGGAGAAGGCACGCUGACACGUAGGUGAAGUGAUUUACUCAUGGAGCUGAAGUCAGUCGAAGAUACCAGCUGGCUGCAACUGUUUAUUAAAAACACAGCACUGUGCAAACACGAAAGUGGACGUAUACGGUGUGACGCCUGCCCGGUGCCGGAAGGUUAAUUGAUGGGGUCAGCGCAAGCGAAGCUCCUGAUCGAAGCCCCGGUAAACGGCGGCCGUAACUAUAACGGUCCUAAGGUAGCGAAAUUCCUUGUCGGGUAAGUUCCGACCUGCACGAAUGGCGUAAUGAUGGCCAGGCUGUCUCCACCCGAGACUCAGUGAAAUUGAACUCGCUGUGAAGAUGCAGUGUACCCGCGGCAAGACGGAAAGACCCCGUGAACCUUUACUAUAGCUUGACACUGAACAUUGAGCCUUGAUGUGUAGGAUAGGUGGGAGGCUUUGAAGUGUGGACGCCAGUCUGCAUGGAGCCGACCUUGAAAUACCACCCUUUAAUGUUUGAUGUUCUAACGUGGACCCGUAAUCCGGGUUGCGGACAGUGUCUGGUGGGUAGUUUGACUGGGGCGGUCUCCUCCUAAAGAGUAACGGAGGAGCACGAAGGUUGGCUAAUCCUGGUCGGACAUCAGGAGGUUAGUGCAAUGGCAUAAGCCAGCUUGACUGCGAGCGUGACGGCGCGAGCAGGUGCGAAAGCAGGUCAUAGUGAUCCGGUGGUUCUGAAUGGAAGGGCCAUCGCUCAACGGAUAAAAGGUACUCCGGGGAUAACAGGCUGAUACCGCCCAAGAGUUCAUAUCGACGGCGGUGUUUGGCACCUCGAUGUCGGCUCAUCACAUCCUGGGGCUGAAGUAGGUCCCAAGGGUAUGGCUGUUCGCCAUUUAAAGUGGUACGCGAGCUGGGUUUAGAACGUCGUGAGACAGUUCGGUCCCUAUCUGCCGUGGGCGCUGGAGAACUGAGGGGGGCUGCUCCUAGUACGAGAGGACCGGAGUGGACGCAUCACUGGUGUUCGGGUUGUCAUGCCAAUGGCACUGCCCGGUAGCUAAAUGCGGAAGAGAUAAGUGCUGAAAGCAUCUAAGCACGAAACUUGCCCCGAGAUGAGUUCUCCCUGAGACUUUGA
RNAcentral lists this ribosomal RNA (1617 nucleotides) under Salmonella enterica subsp. enterica serovar Alachua. Its description in RNAcentral is "bacterial LSU rRNA". It matches the Rfam family "Bacterial large subunit ribosomal RNA", at positions 1225 to 2824 of the family's 2925-position model. Lineage: Bacteria; Pseudomonadati; Pseudomonadota; Gammaproteobacteria; Enterobacterales; Enterobacteriaceae. The record is from RNAcentral.